Molecule: long non-coding RNA, 931 nt
Organism: Capsicum annuum
Lineage: Eukaryota; Viridiplantae; Streptophyta; Magnoliopsida; Solanales; Solanaceae
Exons: 2
Source: RefSeq, a predicted model, not a curated record
GGUACACCGCCUGGUUGCUCCUAUAAAUACCAAUCAUUUAAUUAUUGCAAUUCACAAAUUUUCUUUUCUAUCAGUUCCGCUUGAUUAUUUGUUGCGCCGUGGCUGAAGUAUAAUUGGGUUGAAACAAAUAGCAAUAUGCAACAAUCGGCUUAGGGUGCGAGAGUUUAACUUUACCUCCGUAUACUCUAAGACCGAUCAAUUUGAAUUCAAGAUACUGGAUUUGCAACAAUCGGCUUAGGGUGCGAGAGUUUACCUAUGAUCGAAGUUCAAACAUAUUGCAAGCCUUUAUUGAAGCAUGAUGCCCAAGGACAAAUACAUUGCUGACAUCGAUUGGAGAGCUCUUUAUAUCCAUUUGGGAUUUACAUGAGAUUGGGGGCCUACCCAUCAGAGGUCUUCCUUGUGAAGAAGUAGUGCCUGAAUUCAAAGAGAUCACCAGUGUUGAUGAGAAGAAUGAGAGAUUCAUCCCUCGUACUUGUGAAUUCUUAUUUUUAGCCUUUCAGCAUCUUCAAGAAGGAGAGUCGCAUAAUCCAAGAGUUACUUUAAGCACGUAGAUAAAGUUUUGGUGUAAAAGAGUCUUGAGAUAUGAGGCAGCUCCAGUGAGGAAGGAGAAAAAAUUUGUUUGCUUGAAGUCAAUACAUAACCCAACUGAGAAUAUUCUGAAUGCAAAAAAGUGGUCAAGCGCAGAUGAUACGACAUUUUCUAAACUUGGAGUAGGGUAUGAACACAGAGUUGAUACAUAGUUAGCAACAUUUUUAUCAUGUUGGUUAUGUACCUUUGUGUUUCCUUCUAAAGAUGGAGAUUUCAUUCAUUCGAGAUCUUUUAUAAUUGCAUCUAUGAUAGACAAUAAGCAAAUGUUUAGUCUUGUUAUUCCUUUCUUGUCAAGCAUUUAUAAUGGUUUAAACAGGAUUACCAAAGGUUCGCAACUUGAGCA